Aquila chrysaetos chrysaetos is the source of this 135-nucleotide small nucleolar RNA. Ensembl annotates it as small nucleolar RNA SNORA9. The record is from Ensembl. NCBI's taxonomy places the organism in Eukaryota, Metazoa, Chordata, Aves, Accipitriformes, Accipitridae.
CAGCAAGCCUACCAGCGUGGGGGGGCCUGGUGUGGCCCCCGCCAUUCCUGCAGCGCUUGCCAGAGCAGCCCCGGGACGGUUUGAGGCCUCUCCCCGCUUUCCCCGGGGGGGGGGUUAUAGACAUCCCGGACACCC